This 305-nucleotide ribosomal RNA is filed under the name uncultured bacterium. Its description in RNAcentral is "bacterial SSU rRNA". It matches the Rfam family "Bacterial small subunit ribosomal RNA", at positions 333 to 656 of the family's 1533-position model. The record is from RNAcentral.
AUAUGCCUACGGGGCGCAGCAGUGAGGAAUAUUGGUCAAUGGGCGAGAGCCUGAACCAGCCAAGUCGCGUGAGGGAAGAAGGUUUUCGGAUUGUAAACCUCUGUCCUUGGUGACGAUAAUGACGGUAGCCAAGGAGGAAGCUCCGGCUAACUACGUGCCAGCAGCCGCGGUAAUACGUAGGGAGCGAGCGUUGUCCGGAAUUACUGGGUGUAAAGGGAGCGUAGGCGGGACUGCAAGUUGGGUGUCAAAUCUACCGGCUCAACCGGUAGCCGCACUCAAAACUGCAGUUCUUGAGUGAAGUAGAG